Molecule: long non-coding RNA, 108 nt
Organism: Thalassophryne amazonica
Lineage: Eukaryota; Metazoa; Chordata; Actinopteri; Batrachoidiformes; Batrachoididae
Exons: 3
Source: RefSeq, a predicted model, not a curated record
CCUGCUGGCACACCGUCUGUCCUUCUGCACUGUAGAAGUUGAUGUUGAAUUUGCAGUUUCUCAUGUUCUGCAGCAACGAAUGCAGCUUCUUGGUGUUGCUUUUCUUCA